RNAcentral lists this long non-coding RNA (426 nucleotides) under Sorghum bicolor (sorghum). RNAcentral describes it as "long non-coding RNA (SBIC_LNC004242)". The record is from RNAcentral. Lineage: Eukaryota; Viridiplantae; Streptophyta; Magnoliopsida; Poales; Poaceae.
GCGAGGCAAGGAAGAAGCGAAUGAGAGAGGGGAAAACGGCUCGGGUGCUGGCGCGGUUCAAAAGGCCAAGUCGCGGGGGAAACAGAGGGAGAAUCGUGGGAGCGGGGGGGGGGGGGGGGAAGACCUUGCGGUUCUGCUGAACCGAGAGAGAGGAGGCGGUUGGAGGGAGGAAGGGGAUGACAGGUGGGCCCGACCUGUCGGCGAUAGAGAGAGGGAGAGGGAGUUGGCCAGCUGGGCCUCGGCCCAGGAAGAGAAGAAGGGGGCGCAGGAUUUGGGCCCUGCAGGCCAAAAGGAGAAGGGAGGGGGGAAGAGUUUUGCCAUUUUCUUUUUUUUUCAAACAAAAUUUUCAACACAUUUUCCAAUUGAAUUUUUGAUCAAAUUGACAUUUUGUUUUUAGAAUACUCAUCACAAUAAUAAUGCACCAGC